CCUACGGGUGGCAGCAGUGAGGAAUAUUGGUCAAUGGACGAGAGUCUGAACCAGCCAAGUAGCGUGAAGGAUGACUGCCCUAUGGGUUGUAAACUUCUUUUAUAUGGGAAUAAAAUGUUCCACGUGUGGUCUUUUGUAUGUACCAUAUGAAUAAGUAUCGGCUAACUCCGUGCCAGCAGCCGCGGUAAUACGGAGGAUCCGAGCGUUAUCCGGAUUUAUUGGGUUUAAAGGGAGCGUAGGUGGAUUGUUAAGUCAGUUGUGAAAGUUUGCGGCUCAACCGGAAAAUUGCAGUUGAAACUGGCAGUCUGGAAGACAGUAGAGGUGGGCGGAAUUCGUGGUGUAGCGGUGAAAUGCUUAGAUAUCACGAAGAACUCCGAUUGCGAAGGCAGUUCACUGGACUGUAACUGACGUUGAGGCUCGAAAGCGUGGGGAGCAAACAGGAUUAGAUACCCGAGUAGUC
RNAcentral lists this ribosomal RNA (460 nucleotides) under uncultured bacterium. RNAcentral describes it as "partial 16S ribosomal RNA". It matches the Rfam family "Bacterial small subunit ribosomal RNA", at positions 338 to 795 of the family's 1533-position model. The record is from RNAcentral.